AUAAAAAUUUAAAUAAUUUCUAAUAAAAAUAAAAAAAUUAAUAUAAUAAGUAGAAUAUUAAUAAUCUUAAAAUAAACUAGGUAUAUAAUAUAAGAAUUAUGCUGGAGUACUAUUAAUAGUACAAAGUUAUUGGUGCUAUUAAGUUUUCGACCCUUGAAUGAAGGGAUGUGUGGUUAGGAUAAUAAUAGUCGGUUGGUUGAAUAGUAUAAUUUAAUGUAUCGAAAUGGUCAAAAAAGUAAAUAUAACGGCGAAAAAUUUAAUAAUAUCAAGUGCUUUGUGCUAUUAAUAGCACCCUAGCCAGACUCUAAAAUAUAUAUUCUACUUUGGGGUGUAUAUGUAAUGUUGCACUUACUAUUAAAAAUAUUCAAAUGGUAUUGUGGCCGCUGUGACCUGGGUGGAAGUCAAGCGGGGCACGUGUAGGCAGAGGAUUGGCUGGAGUGGAAAGGAAUUUUACAGCUGUUUUGGCGGUGCAGCAGGCGGGGCGUCGACAGACAGGGGUUGGGGGGCGCAGUUAUUGCCUGGAAGCAGUAGGUUCAGCAAGUCGGCCGAGAAUCUGUCCAAAAAAGUUGACCAUGCAAGACAUCAAAUCUAAUAAGGAUUAUUAGUUGCAUAUAUAUAUAUAUAUAUAUAUAUAUAUGAGUUGAGCUAUGAUAUUUUUACAAGUAUCACCAUCAUGGUGCUAUAAGGUUUUAAGCCAUUGGAUCUACUUUUUGAUUAUUAAUAGACCUUGGAUUAAAGACUAUUCCACCUACCACCACCUGCCACCAUCAUCUGAACCUCACAUCUCUCCAUCCAAGGGCUAAACACACACAAGUAUCACCCCCAUGAUACUUUUACAAGUAUUCUAGCCCCACUCUAUAUAUCUGUAAUCUAUAUUAUAUAUAAAAACACGUAUUUCAAAUUUUGGUUUGCUGCCAAAUUUAUUUUAAAAAUAGAAAUAUAAAGAUAAGAAUAGGAAUCAUUCGGAAUGAAUACGUAAUGAUAUUUAAAUUCUUCUUUUUUUUCUCUAACGGAUACUCUUAAAUAGAAAUAUAAAGAUAAGAAUAGAAACCGUUGAGAAUAAAUAUGUAAUGAUAUUUAAAUUCUUCUUUUUUUAUCUUUUCUUUUUAAAUAAGAAUUAAAAUACGCGUGGGAGUAUAAAAUUUAUAAAAUAAAUAUUCACUUUGUUGAUAAGUAACCCAAUAUUUUUGAUUAGUUUAGAUUUAUUUCUGUCAAGUUUAUCUCUUAAUAUUUUUGUUGGUCAGACAUAAUAGAUAAGUUUAAAUCUGGUUUAGUUAUUGUUAUUAGGAUUUUGAUUUAUGUCUAUAUAUAGACGGCUGUAAAUGUGUAGAAAAUUAUCCACCAUCAAAAUUUAGUCUAAAUAUAUUUAAUAAAGAUUUAGUUUUAUGCUACUCUCGUUUCAACAAUUGGUAUCAGAGCCAAGUUGAAGAAGCCUCACGACGAAGAAAAGAUCGUCGGCUUCGUGAUCGAGGACGUAGAACGUGUCGGCAUCGCGCUCUCCAUCGACAUUGAUAGUUGAUCAUGGCCCUAAACGGGAUGAUUCAACCACAGCUUCCGAAGUUUAUAGAAAAGAACUUCGAUUACUGGAGUAUCCAGAUAAAAUGCUUAUUUUCAU
This 1615-nucleotide long non-coding RNA is filed under the name Ananas comosus (pineapple). RNAcentral describes it as "long non-coding RNA (ACOM_LNC024515)". Lineage: Eukaryota; Viridiplantae; Streptophyta; Magnoliopsida; Poales; Bromeliaceae. The record is from RNAcentral.